RNAcentral lists this ribosomal RNA (497 nucleotides) under uncultured bacterium. Its description in RNAcentral is "partial 16S ribosomal RNA". It matches the Rfam family "Bacterial small subunit ribosomal RNA", at positions 28 to 507 of the family's 1533-position model. The record is from RNAcentral.
GAUGAACGCUGGCGGCGUGCCUAAUACAUGCAAGUCGAGCGAACAGACGAGGAGCUUGCUCCUCUGACGUUAGCGGCGGACGGGGGAGUAACACGUGGAUAACCUACCUAUAAGACUGGGAUAACUUCGGGAAACCGGAGCUAAUACCGGAUAAUAUAUUGAACCGCAUGGUUCAAUAGUGAAAGACGGUUUUGCUGUCACUUAUAGAUGGAUCCGCGCCGCAUUAGCUAGUUGGUAAGGUAACGGCUUACCAAGGCAACGAUGCGUAGCCGACCUGAGAGGGUGAUCGGCCACACUGGAACUGAGACACGUUCCAGACUCCUACGGGAGGCAGCAGUAGGGAAUCUUCCGCAAUGGGCGAAAGCCUGACGGAGCAACGCCGCGUGAGUGAUGAAGGUCUUCGGAUCGUAAAACUCUGUUAUUAGGGAAGAACAAAUGUGUAAGUAACUAUGCACGUCUUGACGGUACCUAAUCAGAAAGCCACGGCUAACUACGUG